UACGUAGGGUGCGAGCGUUAAUCGGAAUUACUGGGCGUAAAGCGUGCGCAGGCGGCGCGUUAAGACAGGGGUGAAAUCCCGGAGCUCAACUCCGGAACUGCCUUUGAUACUGGCAAUCUAGAGACUGGAAGAGGUUAGUGGAAUUCCCAGUGUAGAGGUGAAAUUCGUAGAUAUUGGGAAGAACACCAGUGGCGAAGGCGGCUAACUGGUCCAGUACUGACGCUGUGGUGCGAAAGCGUGGGGAGCAAACAGG
This 253-nucleotide ribosomal RNA is filed under the name uncultured bacterium. Its description in RNAcentral is "partial 16S ribosomal RNA". It matches the Rfam family "Bacterial small subunit ribosomal RNA", at positions 524 to 776 of the family's 1533-position model. The record is from RNAcentral.